Molecule: ribosomal RNA, 585 nt
Filed under: uncultured bacterium
Lineage: Bacteria
Description: partial 16S ribosomal RNA
Rfam family: Bacterial small subunit ribosomal RNA
Source: RNAcentral
UGGGGAAUUUUGGACAAUGGGCGAAAGCCUGAUCCAGCAAUGCCGCGUGAGUGAAGAAGGCCUUCGGGUUGUAAAGCUCUUUUGUCAGGGAAGAAACGGUGAGAGCUAAUAUCUUUUGCUAAUGACGGUACCUGAAGAAUAAGCACCGGCUAACUACGUGCCAGCAGCCGCGGUAAUACGUAGGGUGCAAGCGUUAAUCGGAAUUACUGGGCGUAAAGCGUGCGCAGGCGGUUUUGUAAGUCUGAUGUGAAAUCCCCGGGCUCAACCUGGGAAUUGCAUUGGAGACUGCAAGGCUAGAAUCUGGCAGAGGGGGGUAGAAUUCCACGUGUAGCAGUGAAAUGCGUAGAUAUGUGGAGGAACACCGAUGGCGAAGGCAGCCCCCUGGGUCAAGAUUGACGCUCAUGCACGAAAGCGUGGGGAGCAAACAGGAUUAGAUACCCUGGUAGUCCACGCCCUAAACGAUGUCUACUAGUUGUCGGGUCUUAAUUGACUUGGUAACGCAGCUAACGCGUGAAGUAGACCGCCUGGGGAGUACGGUCGCAAGAUUAAAACUCAAAUGAUUGNCGGGGUCAUAGCUGUUUCCUG